UACAAUGGAGAGUUUGAUCCUGGCUCAGGAUGAACGCUAGCGGCAGGCCUAAUACAUGCAAGUCGAGGGGCAGCACAGGUAGCAAUACUGGGUGGCGACCGGCAAACGGGUGCGGAACACGUACGCAACCUUCCUUCAAGCGAGGGAUAGCCCAGAGAAAUUUGGAUUAAUACCUCAUAGGAAUGUAGUCUCGCAUGAGACAGCAUUUAAAGAUUUAUCA
Molecule: ribosomal RNA, 220 nt
Filed under: Chitinophaga fulva
Lineage: Bacteria; Pseudomonadati; Bacteroidota; Chitinophagia; Chitinophagales; Chitinophagaceae
Description: Chitinophaga sp. G-6-1-13 partial 16S ribosomal RNA
Rfam family: Bacterial small subunit ribosomal RNA
Source: RNAcentral